This is a small nucleolar RNA of Dendrobium catenatum, 106 nucleotides long. Lineage: Eukaryota; Viridiplantae; Streptophyta; Magnoliopsida; Asparagales; Orchidaceae. The record is from RefSeq and is a predicted model, not a curated record.
AAGCAUGAAGUGGACGCUUCCUAAGUAACUCCUUAAACCUUUCCCAUAUUUAAUAGAUAGACUCCCCAUCUAAUAGAAUAAAUUAUGUGAUAUCAUUUCUAAGCUU